Molecule: long non-coding RNA, 2629 nt
Organism: Caretta caretta (loggerhead turtle)
Lineage: Eukaryota; Metazoa; Chordata; Testudines; Cheloniidae
Source: RefSeq, a predicted model, not a curated record
CACCCCCUCUGAGACCCCCACUCUCGCACAGACACCCUCCCCCUCCUUCACAGAAACCUCCCCCUUCCAUGAGAGAGCCCCAUGCUCCCCCCGAGGCCCCACCUCUACUGUGAGGAACCCCCAGCCUCCCACAGGGACUCCUCAUCCCUCAAGGGUCUCUCAGGGGUUCCUGCCACACGGUGAAUCUAUCCCCCACAGCAGCCUUCUGCUCCCCUCCUCCUUCGCUCCCAGAGACCCCAGCCUCUUCUCACCCCAGGCCUCGCACUGCCCAGUGAGCCCUGACCACCACAGAGACCCCCUUCUCCCACAGCCAGCUCUACCCUCACUCAGAGGCCCCUCACCCCACAGAGACGCUCUCAACCCUCCCCCAGCCAGAAACUCACCUCACAGGUAUCCCACUUCUCAGCAAGAGCUCUGUCUGCACCCCCAAGGGAGACCUUCUCCCACAGAGUCCCUUCCCCCAGGUGUUUCCCUCCAGAGAGUCCACCUUCCCACAGAGAGCCUGUUCCUACUUCACCAUAAUCUCCCCACCCAGAUACCUUCCCUCUGACUCCUAAACAAAGCCCAUCUCCUUCCCCACUGCCUAUGGCAACAAGCCCCCAAGAAGCCCUUCCAGGGCCCUCCUCACAGAUGCUUCCCCUCCACCAAAAUGACCCCCUCCUUACUUUCCCCACACAUACAAUGCAGCUCCCCUUUUCUUCCAUUGUGAGACAAACAUGGAGACCUGGGUGAAGGACUGGAAUCUGGGGCGAUGACUCAGAGGCUGGAGCUACAGAUGCUAACUUUCCAAUUUGCUGUGGAGUGCUCAUUGCUCAACCCCCUGCUCUGCCUGAGGGCCUGCCACCACUCCAACUCUUCCCCCGAGCCUGCCAUGCCCUUGCUCCUUCCAUCCCACCAUCAACCUCAGCCUGGUCCAGUCCACACAAGAGAUCCACUUCCUGGACACUACAGUGCUAAUAAACAAUGGUCACAUAAACACCACCCUAUACCGGAAACCUACUGACCGCUAUUCCUACCUACAUGCCUCCAGCUUUCACCCUGACCACACCACACGAUCCAUCGUCUACAGCCAAGCUCUGCGAUACAACCGCAUUUGCUCCAACCCCUCAGACAGAGAAAAACAGAGAAAAAAGAUCUCUGUCAAGCUUUCUUACAACUACAAUACCCACCUGCGGAAGUGAAGAAACAGAUUAAUAGAGCCAGAAGAGUUCCCAGAAGUUACCUACUACAGGACAGGCCUAACAAAGAAAAUAACAGAACGCCACUAGCCGUCACCUUCAGCCCCCAACUAAAACCCCUCCAACGCAUUAUUAAGGAUCUACAACCUAUCCUGAAGGAUGACCCAACACUCUCACAAAUCUUGGGAGACAGGCCAGUCCUUGCCUACAGACAGCCCCGCAACCUGAAGCAAAUACUCAGCAGCAACCACAUACCACACAACAGAACCACUAACCCAGGAACUUAUCCUUGCAACAAAGCCCGUUGCCAACUGUGCCCACAUAUCUAUUCAGGGGACACCAUCACAGGGCCUAAUAACAUCAGCCACACUAUCAGAGGCUCGUUCACCUGCACAUCCACCAAUGUGAUAUAUGCCAUCAUGUGCCAGCAAUGCCCCUCUGCAAUUUACAUUGGUCAAACUGGACAGUCUCUACGUAAAAGAAUAAAUGGACACAAAUCAGAUGUCAAGAAUUAUAACAUUCAUAAACCAGUCGGAGAACACUUCAAUCUGUCUGGUCACGCAAUCACAGACAUGAAGGUCGCUAUCUUAAAACAAAAAAACUUCAAAUCCAGACUCCAGCGAGAAACUGCUGAAUUGGAAUUCAUUUGCAAAUUGGAUACUAUUAAUUUAGGCUUAAAUAGAGACUGGGAGUGGCUUAGUCAUUAUGCAAGGUAGCCUAUUUCCCCUUGUUUUUUCCUACCCCCACCCCAGACGUUCUGGUUAAACUUGGAUUUAAACUUGGAGAGUUGUCAGUUUGGAUGAGCUAUUGCCAUCAGGAGAGUGAGUUUGUGUGUGUGUGUGUGUCCCGGGGGGGAAAUGGGGGGUGGUGAGAGAGCCUGGAUUUGUGCUGGACAUGGCCCACCUUGAUUACCAUGCACAUUGUAGGGAGAGUGGUCAUUUUGGAUGAGCUAUUACCAGCAGGAGAGUGAGUUUGUAUGUGUGUGGGGGUGAGAAAACCUAGAUUUGUGCUGGAAAUGGCCCACCUUGAUUAUCAUGCACAUUGUAGGGAGAGUGGUCACUUUGGAUGAGCUAUUACCAGCAGGAGAGUGAGUUUGUGUGUGUGGUUUUUGGAGGGGGGUGAGAGAACCUGGAUUUGUGCAGGAAAUGGCCGACCUUGAUUAUCAUGCACAUUGUGAAGAGAGUUGUCACUUUGGAUGGGCUAUUACCAGCAGGAGAGUGAGUUUGUGUGUAGGAGGGUGGAGGGUGAGAAAACCUGGAUUUGUGCUGGAAAUGGCCCAACUUGAUGAUCACUUUAGAUAAGCUAUUACCAGCAGGACAGUGGGGUGGGAGGAGAUAUUGUUUCAUGAUCUCUGUGUGUAUAUAAUAUCUGCUGCAGUUUCCACGGUAUGCAUCCGAUGAAGUGAGCUGUAGCUCACGAAAGCUCAUGCUCAAAUAAAUUGGUUUGUCUCU